UACAGAGGUCCCGAGCGUUGUUCGGAUUCACUGGGCGUAAAGGGUGCGCAGGUGGCUUGGCAAGUUUGAUGUGAAAGCUCAGGGCUUAACCCUGAAAUGGCAUUGAAUACUGUUGAGCUGGAGGUUUGGAGGGGGGACUGGAAUUCUUGGUGUAGCAGUGAAAUGCGCAGAUAUCAGGAAGAACACCCGUGGCGAAAGCGGCUCUCUGGAACGGUACUGACGCUGAGACGCGAAAGCGUGGGGAGCGAACAGG
This 253-nucleotide ribosomal RNA is filed under the name uncultured bacterium. RNAcentral's name for it is "partial 16S ribosomal RNA". It matches the Rfam family "Bacterial small subunit ribosomal RNA", at positions 524 to 776 of the family's 1533-position model. The record is from RNAcentral.